GGAUAACUACUGGAAACGGUAGCUAAUACCGCAUAACGUCGCAAGACCAAAGAGGGGGACCUUCGGGCCUCUUGCCAUCGGAUGUGCCCAGAUGGGAUUAGCUAGUAGGUGGGGUAACGGCUCACCUAGGCGACGAUCCCUAGCUGGCCUGAGGGGAUGACCAGCCACACUGGAACUGAGACACGGUCCAGACUCCUACGGGAGGCAGCAGUGGGGAAUAUUGCACAAUGGGCGCAAGCCUGAUGCAGCCAUGCCGCGUGUAUGAAGAAGGCCUUCGGGUUGUAAAGUACUUUCAGCGGGGAGGAAGGGAGUAAAGUUAAUACCUUUGCUCAUUGACGUUACCCGCAGAAGAAGCACCGGCUAACUCCGUGCCAGCAGCCGCGGUAAUACGGAGGGUGCAAGCGUUAAUCGGAAUUACUGGGCGUAAAGCGCACGCAGGCGGUUUGUUAAGUCAGAUGUGAAAUCCCCGGGCUCAACCUGGGAACUGCAUCUGAUACUGGCAAGCUUGAGUCUCGUAGAGGGGGGUAGAAUUCCAGGUGUAGCGGUGAAAUGCGUAGAGAUCUGGAGGAAUACCGGUGGCGAAGGCGGCCCCCUGGACGAAGACUGACGCUCAGGUGCGAAAGCGUGGGGAGCAAAAAGGAUUAGAUACCCUGGUAGUCCACGCCGUAAACGAUGUCGACUUGGAGGUUGUGCCCUUGAGGCGUGGCUUCCGGAG
This 715-nucleotide ribosomal RNA is filed under the name uncultured bacterium. RNAcentral's name for it is "bacterial SSU rRNA". It matches the Rfam family "Bacterial small subunit ribosomal RNA", at positions 141 to 851 of the family's 1533-position model. The record is from RNAcentral.